RNAcentral lists this ribosomal RNA (472 nucleotides) under uncultured bacterium. Its description in RNAcentral is "bacterial SSU rRNA". It matches the Rfam family "Bacterial small subunit ribosomal RNA", at positions 917 to 1382 of the family's 1533-position model. The record is from RNAcentral.
GGGCUCACACAAGCGGUGGAGCAUGUGGUUCAAUUCGAAGCAACGCGCAGAACCUUACCUGGGUUUGACAUGCCAGGAUUAUCCCUGUGAAAGCAGGGUAGGCCCUUCGGGGUACAACUGGUACAGGUGCUGCAUGGCUGUCGUCAGCUCGUGUCGUGAGAUGUCGGGUUAAGUCCCUUAACGAGCGAAACCUUUACCCUUAGUUACCAGCGGGUUAUGCCGGGGACUCUAAGGGGACUGCCGGUGUCAAACCGGAGGAAGGUGGAGAUGACGUCAAGUCCUCAUGGCCUUUAUACCCAGGGCCACACACGUGCUACAAUGGCGUUCACAAAGCGACCCUAAACUGCAAAGUCAUGGAAAUCGCAAAAAUAACGCCCCAGUUCAGAUUGGAGGCUGCAACUCGCCUCCAUGAAGUUGGAAUCGCUAGUAAUCGCGGAUCAGCUACGCCGCGGUGAAUGUGUUCCUGAGCCUU